AGUUAAGGUGAUGACUUAACUAGCCUAAAACUCUCGUAGUCGAAGCUGAAAGGUUGAUCGACCACAUUGGGUCUGAAAAAACCCCAAUGCAAGUUAGUACAGCAGUGAGGAAUUUUGGUCAAUAGUCUAACGACUGAACUGGCAACUUGGAGAAGUGGCAAGUCCUAUUUUGAUCAUAUCUUUGAAUAUGAUCUAUAGGAUUGUAUUAAAAUUGAAUAAAGCUUUGUUUAUAUAUUGAUAAUGACAGUAUAUAUAUCGUGUCUUGACUAAUUGCGUGCCAGCAGUCGCGGUAAUACGUAAGAGACUAGUGUUAUUCAUCUUAAUUAGGUUUAAAGGGUACUUAGACGGUCAAUAUAGCUUCUAGAAUGUUAGUACUUGACUAGAGUUUUAUGUAAGAGGGCAGUACUUGAGGAGGAGAGAUGAAAUUCUAUGAUACCAAAGGGACUCGGUAAAGGCGAAGGCAGCCCUCUAUGUAAAAACUGACGUUGAAGGACGAAGGCACAGAGAACAAACAGGAUUAGAUACCCAAGUAGUCUUUGCAGUA
Molecule: ribosomal RNA, 544 nt
Filed under: Hypomyces aurantius
Lineage: Eukaryota; Fungi; Ascomycota; Sordariomycetes; Hypocreales; Hypocreaceae
Description: SSU rRNA
Rfam family: Bacterial small subunit ribosomal RNA
Source: RNAcentral